Chroicocephalus ridibundus (black-headed gull) is the source of this 1996-nucleotide long non-coding RNA. RefSeq lists it as uncharacterized. The record is from RefSeq and is a predicted model, not a curated record. The transcript has 3 exons. NCBI's taxonomy places the organism in Eukaryota, Metazoa, Chordata, Aves, Charadriiformes, Laridae.
GCUGACCUUGAAGGACCGCUGUUUCGGCUCAGGCAAGAGGGAAAAGGGGCAGUCCCCAGCUGGUUUGCGGAAAAAUCCCCAUUGUUGGUGGAUUUGGCCUCACGGGCCACCUGGAGCAUCAAGGCAGGAGUGCUGAGGGGAGCAGGAGACCUGCCUUUCCUUCCACCCUGUUGGAUGUCCACGCAGGGACAACGAAACCAGGAGCUGAACAGGGUGACAUCUUCCUUCUUGAAGUUGGUGUCAGAUCGUACUGGUGUAAAUGCGAGCCAGAACCUUCUCCCAGAUAUUUUAAAGUCAGUUUUGUAAUUCCCAGCGGGGCAGGGUUUCUGGUGCAGGGCAAUUCCAAGUGCACGUGCUGAGCAUCUGCCCAUCAUUUUGUAUUCUUUCCUCUCUGUUUUCUGAAGGUUGGCAAUACACCCAGCAUGCUGGGAGCGAUAACGUAGCUCGGUAAGAGUGAGCAGUUGAAAACUGCUGGCCUUAGUGGCUCCUGUGGUAAUUCUUUGUUUCUAUCAGUUUUGCCGCCGCAGAGGACGCAGAUGUUGAACGGGCGACUGCACUGGGGCCAAAGAGUCAUGGAGGUGUGAGGAGAGGCGAGGUGUGUGCGGUUCUGCGCUAAUAACCGGGACUGGUGUCAGCGGCGUGCGGAGGACGGAGUACCAGAGGCAUCCUGGUCUGGCUUUGGUGUGUCGGGGCAUCGAGGCCGAAAUGCCUGAGCAGAGCCAGAUGAAGCGAUGGGGAGGAGUAGAACCUCAGAGCCACCAAACCUGUGGUAAGAUUUGAAGACCUGCCUGCACGCAAACGCCACCAGCAAAGGCGCCUGCUAACAAGGCAAAGCUAAGGCAACAACCCGUUCUGGGAGAAGGUUUCUGGCUUUGCUGGAAUAUUGGAGAUGAAGGUCUGAUCCUGCGUCCAUCCAAGUCCACAAGAGUUUCUCCACUGACUUUAGAGGCAUCUCUGAACAAUUUGACAACAUUUUCCCCAUCUUAAAUAAGUAUCUCACACGGAGAGCACUGCAUUCCCCUGACCUGUCUCCCAGGCGGGCUGUCUGCCCUUCCGCUAAUUGCAGCAGGAGUUACCGUCCUGAAGUUAAAAUGCCGUUACUGUUUUCCCGAUCACAAAGGGUCAGGAGAAGAGACCUGGCUGCAAAAGUCCUUGCCAGGAAAAGGAGGCUUUUAUUGCAUUCUCGGGCUGGAGGAACAUUUUUGGAUAGAUGUGAGAGUGAAAUAAGACACCGGCUGCGUGAGUCAUGGCUCAGCCGUGCUCUCUAUUCCAAGGGGACAGCUGGUGGCACUAACAAAACGUCUCCCUAGAUACAUUGUCUGGCAGCAAUCCCCCUCCUGCUUUUUCCAGCUGUAACUACCAUUACGUGAUAAAUAAAUAAACACGCUGACAGUGAUGUGCAGAGGCAGCUUUCCUUCCCUCGGCCCCCGGGGGCUCUCACCUGUCCCUCUCCUCCCGCUGCAGGACCUCAAUGCCAAGAUCUAAAAGAAAGGGCAGGGAACACCGGUGUCGGCCGCUGCAGGGUUUGUCCUGGAGGGUGCCCGUGUCCCUCUGUGCGGGGUGGCAGCUCCCCGGGAAACCGCGCCAGAGCCGAUGUAAGCCGUGGCGCAGGCGGAGAUAAGCGACGCUCUCCCCUCCGGGAGCCUUAUCUGCUCCCUGGUCCCCAACUCUCACGCACCCCUUGCCACGCUGCCACAGAGCCGGGGAGGCGUCUGUUCUGUUGGCAAGCUGUCCCGUGGAUUCAAAGCCCAACGGGAAGUUCACGACAGCUCCAAGCAGCGCCACCUCCCUCCUGCUGGGUUCCUGCUGCAGUUUUACCGGGAGCAGUUCAAGGGGAAGGUCGGCCCCCGCCGUGCUGCAGGGCCGGCUCCGGGCAAGGGCUGCGCAUCCACAUGCUGCUUCCAGCCGUUGCGUGACCAGGGGCAAGAGCCCCGUCCCGCGGCACCGAUGGGAACCGGGGACCCUCCAGCUUCCCAGGGGCUGAUUUUGGUCCGCG